Molecule: ribosomal RNA, 494 nt
Filed under: uncultured bacterium
Lineage: Bacteria
Description: partial 16S ribosomal RNA
Rfam family: Bacterial small subunit ribosomal RNA
Source: RNAcentral
GACGAACGCUGGCGGCGUGCUUAACACAUGCAAGUCGAACGGAAAGGCCUGCUUUCCCUUGUGGAUUGCGGGUACUCGAGUGGCGAACGGGUGAGUAACACGUGAGUGAUCUGCCCCCAACUUGGGUAUAAGCCUGGGAAACUGGGUCUAAUUCCCGAUAGGACUGCAGGGUGGUGCCUGUGGUGGAAAACGAUUUUCUAGUGGUUGGGGAUGAGCUCGCGGCCUAUCAGCUUGUUGGUGGGGUAAUGGCCUACCAAGGCGGCGACGGGUAGCCGGCCUGAGAGGGUGGACGGCCACAUUGGGACUGGGAUACGGCCCAGACUCCUACGGGAGGCAGCAGUGGGGAAGAUGGCACAAUGGGCGGAAGCCUGAUGCAGCGACGCCGCGUGGGGGAUGACGGCCUUCGGGUUGUAAACUCCUUUCGACCGCGAGGAAGCCACCUGGUUGGAAGGGUGGUGACGGUAGUGGUAGAAGAAGCACCGGCUAACUACGUG